This 253-nucleotide ribosomal RNA is filed under the name uncultured bacterium. RNAcentral describes it as "partial 16S ribosomal RNA". It matches the Rfam family "Bacterial small subunit ribosomal RNA", at positions 524 to 776 of the family's 1533-position model. The record is from RNAcentral.
UACGUAGGGAGCAAGCGUUGUUCGGAUUUACUGGGCGUAAAGAGCGCGCAGGCGGUCGUUCAAGUCGCGUGUGAAAGCCCCCGGCUCAACUGGGGAGGGUCACGCGAUACUGAUCGACUCGAAGGCAGGAGAGGGUAGUGGAAUUCCCGGUGUAGUGGUGAAAUGCGCAGAUAUCAGGAGGAACACCAAUGGCGAAGGCAGCACUCUGGGACGUGACUGACGCUGAGACGCGAAAGCGUGGGGAGCAAACAGG